UGAGUCAUACCUUCUUUUAUUAUUUUAUCUAUUCUUAGAAACUAAUUACUCCUCUUUAUUUCCAUGCAGACUAUAACAGAUAAACAGAGGGCAAUGACAGUACUUGAUGGAGGAAAUUCUCAGCUACAAAACACUGUUUUUCAACAUAACUGUCCUUAUUCACUAUGCAUAUUCUCCAUCAGUGAAACAGCAAGCUGCAGUCUUCUUCAGAACACCUAUCAAUCUCCCACUUAUAACAAGGAAACUUUGAUUUACCCUUCAGUAGAGGGUGAAGAGAGGAAAAGCAAGAUAGAGCAUUAGAUAAUUCUGAAUGAAAAUGUCCUAAUCAAUCCUAAAUUGAGGACAGAGGAAAAUCAGAGGAAAUAAAGAGCAAAGGUAUGUGCUGUAUAUUCUUCA
RNAcentral lists this long non-coding RNA (396 nucleotides) under Coturnix japonica (Japanese quail). RNAcentral's name for it is "lncRNA (ENSCJPG00005000972.1)". Lineage: Eukaryota; Metazoa; Chordata; Aves; Galliformes; Phasianidae. The record is from RNAcentral.